CAACGAGCCUCAAGGUGGCCACCAAACCGCAGCCCCUGGCCCUUCCCAGGAGUAUCUGGCGGACUUACCGAAGAGCAGCGGCUUGAGGCUGAGGGUUCGGAUGAAGUGAUCCCUGUCGGUGACCAGCUGGACCUUACGCUCGUGCCCCACCUAAGGAAAAGGCGCACAGCGGGCAGCUGGGGCGCCAGACCGCGCUGCCCAAGAAGGGCCAAGUCGCCCCGGCCCGGAGAGCGACAGCAGGCGAGUGAGUGGGAGCGCGCGGGACCGACGCAGAGCAGCGCCGGGGGCAGCGUGGGGACCCGGGCUGAGCGCCGGUCCUCUCGGGCUCAGCCGUGCAGGGCCUGGAGCGCGGCGGGGCAGGGAGGUCCUCACCUUGAUGCCCUCCAGCCGGGUGAGGGGACCUAAGGUGGGCUCGGGCCCGGGGCCCUGGGCACGGUGUUGGGGCCCGGGAUCGCUGCUUUCGUCGCCGUUGCUGUAGUGCACGAAGAGCAGCAGCGCCAGCACGUUACCCAGGUACAGGUGCACGAACACCAUCAGCACCAGGAAGUAGGCGCGCGAGCAGAUGCCGCGGGGCUUGCACAGCGGACGCACCGGUGCGUCCUCGCCGUCGCCCAGCCCGGCCGCCGCCUGAGCCUGGCAGUGGUCUGGCGGCGCCCACUGCGGCCUCGAGGCCUCCUCGGCCGCCGCGGUCUCAGGCCGCUGGCCUGUCACCGCCGCUGCCGCCAUGGCACCCAGGUCGCGCGCGCGCCCAGGGGAGGGGCCGCGGGGGUGCCCGCGCUGCGCAGUCGCCCGGACAACGGCCGCCAGGCCCGCGAGCGCCGCGGUCACUAGGAGACGGUGCCUGGGGGUGCUGAGCCCGCCCGGAGCCGCCUGCGUCCGCGCCGGGCUCGGCCUUCCUGCGCCUUGAGCCCCAGCCCACGCUGGGGCUUCUCUUCCCAAGCUGGGUUGCCGUCGGGCAGAGCUGUACACUCUCCAAGUCAGAAGCCAAGGUCCCAAGCGUAGACGCGGACAAGAGCGGCACCAUUAAGGCAUACACUAGUGGGAGCUUCUCGGUGCCUGCGUGAAGACGCCCUCUUGCCUCCGGGAAAAGUAUCGUCUGCAUCUUCUUGCUCCAGGAGCGGGGGUGGGGAGCGCAGCGCGGAGGAGGCAGCGCUGAGAUGACUCAACAGUGCGGCAUUUGGGGGCGCCGCGGAGGCUGGGACUGCGUAAGCGGCGAUAGGGUAGGACCCACAGCCUCCUCGCAGGCAUUCUUGGAGCUCGGUUCCGCGGUCGGUCCGGAUCUCCCGGGAAGUCUCGCCGGAGUCAGGCAGGCCUUAGGAAGAAGCUGCCUGAUGUGCAAGGUUUCAUAGGCCGUCAGAGGGGGCAUCCUGGAGGAGCCCUGGCAUCAGGAAAGUGAGCCCCCCAUGGCAGCCCGCAGGAAUGAACCAGUGCUCAGGAAGAGAUCUCCCUGUUGUCCAGGCUGGUCAUGAACUCCCAGGGCUCAAGCAGUUCUCCAGUCUCAGCCUCCUGAAGUGCUGGGAUUAUAGGCAUGAGCCACCACGCCAGGCCCCUAACUCAUUUUAAAUGGCUGUGUAAUGUGGAUGAUGACAGCACCUACCUCAAGGGGCUGCUGUGAGGACUAAAUGGGUAUGUUCUCAGUUAACAUUAGUGUGAUUGUCUUUGUGAGGUCCCACUUCUAUCACUUUCUAUCCCGCCCCAAGCAGAGCCUGUUAUACAGGAGAUGCUCAGAUGCUUAUUGUGUAAACCCCUGUGGGCUACAUGGAAAAUCCCUCCUGACUUCGCUAGAAGGUGCUAUCUUCUCUCUUUUUAGGAUUGCCAAAGGUAUGGUGCCAAGGCCAUAGUACCCUGGCCCCACUGAUCUGCAGGAGUGGCCCUGAGCAUGGGUGGUCCUUUGCUCCUGGCCUUGCUGCUCCAGUAAAAACAUUCACUAGUGGGCUGGGUGUAGUGGCUCAUGCCUGUAAUCCCAGCACUUUGGGAGGCCAAGGCAGGAAGAUAGCUUGAACUCAGGAGUUUGAGACCAGUCUGGGCAACAUGGCAAGACCCUGUCUCUACAAAAAAAAAUACAAAAAUUAGGGGAGCAUGGUGGCACACACUGGUCCCAGCUACUCGGGGAGCUGAAGCAGAAUAAUUGAGCCCAGGAGUGGAGGCCGCAGUGAGCAGAGAUCAUGCCACUGUACUCCAGUCUGGGCGAUAGAGCGAGACUGUCUCAAAACAAAAAACAAACAUUCACUAGUGAUCAAUUCCUUCUAUGUUCCCCAUGGAUUGGAAGCUCCUGGAAGCUAGAGCACGUGAAUCACUUGCAUACCACUGUAUGCCCAGGUGCCAAGCGUGGGGCUUGGCACACCUGAGGUCCAGAGGAAGAGCUGCGGAGUUCAGACUGGCAAUGUAUGAGGCCUCUUCUAGCCACAGGUGCCCUGUGCAUGUUGCCCACAGCUAUGGAGCCUCCACUCUACCCCUGAGCUACUUAUCACUGACACUACUGCCACUUCUGACACCACAAAUGUGGACCCCCUUAAUCAAUCCAAACCUCAUUUCCUGUCCUUCACCCUUGAGAUUAGACUCCACACUUGUUUCUGCCCCAAGUUGUCUCUUCAUAACCCUUAGGGCUCCCGUGAAGCUGGAGUUCACCCUGCCAUAUUCCACAGCCCUACAUUCCCAUGUCUGCUUUGGAGGGGUCCGGAGGUCUCAGAAUGGGGGGGUUGGGACAUUUAUAUCAGUACUCUACCACAACCCUGGGAUCUAUCUGUGGUGGGGAAUGAUUCAGCCUGUACUGAGGGAGAGGAGAGCGGAAAACUGGCAGGAUUUUCUACUUCAUUCCACAGGGAUCACUUACAGGUGCCCUCUCCCCCAACAGCCAGAAAGGGAAAACAGAGCCGAGUUUGGCCACUGGGGCCUCCACAGCCCUCUGGAAGAAGGGGCUGACUGAUAGGAAGGCACUCCUCUGGUGUUCACUGGCCAGACCCCUGUGGGCUCAGAAGACUACCUAGACCCCAUGAAGAAAGACUCUAGACACAUUUUUAUAAUCAGAAACUUACAGUUUAUUGUGAAUAAACCACUCAACUUUGAGCAGAUGACAUUGCCUCAAUUAACUUUUUCGUUGAAGAAAAACAAAGAUAUAUGGUAAAUUCAUGAAAAUACUGUGUCCUUUCUCUUCCACCCUUUGUAGGGCAGAAAAAUUCUGCCUGACCUUUCCCAUCUUCCUGAUGAUGUUAACAAACGACAGCCACUGAGGGCACAGGAGGGGGCUCUACACAGGCCAAGAGCUACAGGCUACAGUCUGAGCACAGAAAACCCUCCAGCUCCAGCAUCCAGGGCCACAGCUGGACACAAGUACAGAACCUGGCAGCCCUGCAGCCCAGACAAUGCCCAGGGUGUGAUUUAGGGUGCAGAGCUGCAACUCAGAUCCUGUGCCAUGGCAGUAUCACAGGAAGGACUUGACGGAGAGGUGAAGGCUCCAGACGCCAGGAUAUUUAUUCCCUGUGCCAAUACAGCAUUCACACCUGACCUCCAGGUCCUGCAGCAGUCUCUCCCUUGCUGGGGACAACACAGGAAGAGACAAAACCUGAGGAAGGAAAAAGGGAACCUGCAACCAGCCAUGGACCUCAUGAUCCCAUGAGUCACAGCUAUCCUCUGUCUUUAAGAAUGACUGUUUUAUAGCUUACAUGGUACCUGGGAAAUUGCUGACUUGCAGCUGAAAUGUAUGAAUACCAAAGAAUUUCUAUCACAAUAUUCACAGAUCUCUGUAUCAGCUCUACUUGGAGGUCAAGCAGGCUUGGGAGAGUAUAGACUGCUCUGCCUGCCCUAGAGUGGAAGCAUUGAACAAAGCCACAAAAACCCCAGAGAUCACAGAUCUAACUUUUCAAUGGCCCACAGGACCAGGUUCAGGACAGGUAGGACACCAGGCAAACCACUUGUUCCCUUGCGCUUCAUUGUGCAAAAGCUGGUCUGUUCCUCUGGCCAGACCCUCCUUAGUACAGGAUCUCGGACCACAAACCAAGGAGUCUCGUGGCCUUGGAUUCCCAGACCCUAGGAUGGUAUCCCUCUGACAGCUGGAACCAGGCAAGGGGGAACACACCUCAGCCUCAGAGCAGCCUCUGGACACUCUCCAGGUAACAUGAAAAUAACUUGUGCAAACACAGCCCCCAUGCCAGAAAGUCCAGUGCCCUAGGAAGGGCUAUCCUGAAUUCUGACCCUGAUGUUUGCCAAAGGAGAAUGCAGCAAGACAGUGUCAGGUUUGGCCAAAUGUGACCCUGCUCAGAGCUAUACCACUUGAAUACUGGCACAAAAGAAAGGACCAAGGUAAAGCAAAUUUAUUUGGGAGGAACAAUUCCCUUCAAAAGUAGAUCCCUAUCUUUAGGAGACAAAAGGCAACACUGUGAUGAACCCACACCCCCUAGUUUGGGGGGCCACAGGCCCAACCCCAUUCUGCUGUGGGCUCUAGCCUCAGUAGCCAGAUCCAGGUAAACCUCAGUUUCAAGAAUAAAGGUGAGCCACAGACAUGCAGCACCACCAGAGACAACAACACCCCGUGGCAAGAAGACCAUGUUCUGGACUGUCUCCGUACUGCCACGGUAAGGCAGGAGGCAUGCUGUGACCCCUUGUGCUCCAUGCCCAUUGCACAGGCCAGUUCAAUUCCCUACCAUCUGCCACCCAUGCUCUUCUUUGGGACUACAACUCUGGCCAAACGUGAAUAUGGAAAGCAGAGGCCCAGGGCCCUCUUGCAGUACAGACAUUUUGAGGUGGGUAGGCAGCAUAUGUUACAUUCUAAGUAAAACAGCUAGAGGGUAAAACACUCCAAUGCCAAUUUAUUUUCAAAAAGGGCUCUGUGUUAUCCUAUAGUUUGCCUUUUUUUUUUUUUUGUAUAAUUGUACAACCUUUGAAAGUUACAUAAGUUGUAAUGAUCUAAUACUAUUAAUAGCCAUUCAGAAAACACUUUCCCUCCCUCCCAACAACCAUCCAGGGGGAAAUAAAAGUCCUGAAAAGAGGCCAGUUCAACAUGGCCUCUACCCUGGUAGAAACAAAAAGUGAAAAGAGAAGAAAACAGAAAUCAACUAAGAGGUGUUGCCAGUGUCUCUCAGGAGUGGGGCCCUGGCUGUUGCCUGGGGUCAUGAAAGGCAGAGCCUGCAGCAUGCAGUAUGGCAGCCGGGAGACCUUGCAGCCACAUCUUCCUCACCCCGGCACAUCCACAUCCCAACUUAGGUGUCAUGGAAAUCUUUCAGCAGGGUUCUCCUCCGCUGCUCCGCUAUAUGCAUCUGGUUCUCCAAGUCCUGCAUCAGAGAAACAAGGUGUGUGCUUGCAUGGCCCAGGCCUGGGAGCAAGGAGUAGCCAAAGCCACAAACACCCUCCAGGACCUCCAAGGAGUCAAAAACACUGCCCUUCCCAUUCUUAGCAGCAGCUACCAGUGCACAAGCCAACAACGCUGUCACCUAUUACCAUGCCAGUCCUCUACCUGCAAUAUAGAAUCCAAGAGGACAGUAGGCACUUACCCCUCUGUCAUAGCUGUCUGCACGCUCCACUUUCCAUGAGAGGUUUUCGAUCUCAGCCUCCAGCUGAGCCUGCUGGUAUUCAAACUGUAUAGGCAGAGCAGGAGGGUCAAAAGGUGAGUGGGCUGUGGCUGGGGCAGGGCCUGUACACGGGGGUGGGCACAUGCAGCACCUCAGGCUCACAGGAACUACAGACAAUCCUGAUACUGUCCUCAGAAAGUAGUGUUAUUCCCUGUGCCCAGAGCCAGAAUCCAAACAAAAGGCUAUCCAAACAGCAAGGCCACAUUCACCCUCGACCCUCAAAAGGUCCACUCCACCCUCCACACUCCCAAAGGCAGGCAAAGAAUUUAAGCCACUAAAGAGAACACUCCCAACAUGAAAGGGAAUGGAUGCUGUAAAAAAUAAGUCAAAUGAAUAUUCUCAGACACUA
Molecule: long non-coding RNA, 5913 nt
Filed under: Homo sapiens (human)
Lineage: Eukaryota; Metazoa; Chordata; Mammalia; Primates; Hominidae
Description: non-protein coding lnc-DALRD3-1:7
Source: RNAcentral